GCCUAACACAUGCAAGUCGAGCGGCAGCACGGGAAGCUUGCUUCCUGGUGGCGAGCGGCGGACGGGUGAGUAAUGCAUAGGAAUCUGCCCGGUAGUGGGGGAUAACCUGGGGAAACCCAGGCUAAUACCGCAUACGUCCUACGGGAGAAAGCAGGGGCUCUUCGGACCUUGCGCUAUCGGAUGAGCCUAUGUCGGAUUAGCUGGUUGGUGAGGUAAUGGCUCACCAAGGCGACGAUCCGUAGCUGGUCUGAGAGGAUGAUCAGCCACAUCGGGACUGAGACACGGCCCGAACUCCUACGGGAGGCAGCAGUGGGGAAUAUUGGACAAUGGGCGCAAGCCUGAUCCAGCCAUGCCGCGUGUGUGAAGAAGGCCCUCGGGUUGUAAAGCACUUUCAGUGGGGAAGAAAGCCUUCCGGUUAAUACCCGGGAGGAAGGACAUCACCCACAGAAGAAGCACCGGCUAACUCCGUGCCAGCAGCCGCGGUAAUACGGAGGGUGCGAGCGUUAAUCGGAAUUACUGGGCGUAAAGCGCGCGUAGGUGGCUUGAUAAGCCGGUUGUGAAAGCCCCGGGCUCAACCUGGGAACGGCAUCCGGAACUGUCAGGCUAGAGUGCAGGAGAGGAAGGUAGAAUUCCCGGUGUAGCGGUGAAAUGCGUAGAGAUCGGGAGGAAUACCAGUGGCGAAGGCGGCCUUCUGGACUGACACUGACACUGAGGUGCGAAAGCGUGGGUAGCAAACAGGAUUGAUACCCGGUAGUCCACGCCGUAAACGAUGUCGACUAGCCGUUGGGUCCUUCGCGGACUUUGUGGCGCAGUUAACGCGAUAAGUCGACCGCCUGGGGAGUACGGCCGCAAGGUUAAAACUCAAAUGAAUUGACGGGGGCCCGCACAAGCGGUGGAGCAUGUGGUUUAAUUCGAUGCAACGCGAAGAACCUUACCUACCCUUGACAUCCUCGGAAUCCGCCAGAGAUGGCGGAGUGCCUUCGGGAACCGAGAGACAGGUGCUGCAUGGCUGUCGUCAGCUCGUGUUGUGAAAUGUUGGGUUAAGUCCCGUAACGAGCGCAACCCUUGUCCCUAUUUGCCAGCGAUUCGGUCGGGAACUCUAGGGAGACUGCCGGUGACAAACCGGAGGAAGGUGGGGACGACGUCAAGUCAUCAUGGCCCUUACGGGUAGGGCUACACACGUGCUACAAUGGUCAGUACAAAGGGUUGCGAACUUGCGAGAGUGAGCCAAUCCCAGAAAGCUGAUCUCAGUCCGGAUCGGAGUCUGCAACUCGACUCCGUGAAGUCGGAAUCGCUAGUAAUCGUGAAUCAGAAUGUCACGGUGAAUACGUUCCCGGGCCUUGUACACACCGCCCGUCACACCAUGGGAGUGGACUGCACCAGAAGUGGUUAGCCUAACCUUCGGGAGGGCGAUCACCACGGUGUGGUUCAUGACUGGGGUGAAGUCGUAACAAGGUAGCCGUAGGGGAACCUGCGGCUGGAUCACCUCCUU
Molecule: ribosomal RNA, 1492 nt
Filed under: uncultured Halomonas sp.
Lineage: Bacteria; Pseudomonadati; Pseudomonadota; Gammaproteobacteria; Oceanospirillales; Halomonadaceae
Description: bacterial SSU rRNA
Rfam family: Bacterial small subunit ribosomal RNA
Source: RNAcentral